UUACGCGUGGCGCAAUGGCAGCGCAUCUCAUUCCUAAGCGGUUCAGUAGCUACUCAGGAACUUCAUGAGAAGGUUGCGGGUUCGAGUCCCGUCGCGUAAG
Transfer RNA from Schizosaccharomyces japonicus yFS275, 100 nucleotides. It matches the Rfam family "tRNA". Rfam says of the family: Transfer RNA (tRNA) molecules are approximately 80 nucleotides in length. Their secondary structure includes four short double-helical elements and three loops (D, anti-codon, and T loops). The record is from Rfam. Lineage: Eukaryota; Fungi; Ascomycota; Schizosaccharomycetes; Schizosaccharomycetales; Schizosaccharomycetaceae.